Molecule: long non-coding RNA, 573 nt
Filed under: Homo sapiens (human)
Lineage: Eukaryota; Metazoa; Chordata; Mammalia; Primates; Hominidae
Description: HSALNT0392889
Source: RNAcentral
AAAGUCUGCUUGAAGUGUGGAGUCAGCAACAACUCCAAGGUUUGGCUUUUGAGAUGAGAAUUCUCCGUGCAGAUGCAAAGAGGAAAAGAAUUCUGCCCCCUCCCAGUAAUGCUGGGAAACCUGGAGUCCGCGCUGUGACUCACCGAAUGACGCCUGGAGAGUGCAGGCGCCCCGCCAGUCAGGGAGACAGGACUUCCCUCACUGGGCUGAAGAUAGCCCCUGAAGUUAGGCACAGUCACCGGCGAAAUAUCUUUAUGGCAGAAAUGUGUUUCCUGCCCGUCUAACUUAGGUACUUCCCUCUGCAGCCAGCGUAAUCUUUCUAGAACACGUGUACCGGUAAUUACUGCUUCCACCCCCAGUUCUAGGCAAAGAGCAAGGCCGUUGCGCUCGUCUGCCUCGGAAAGUGGCUCCUCAGUGCCCUCAGACAAGUAAGUGUCAACUGUGCAGCAGACCUCUCAGAUCCAGGCAGCAUGUCCCUGCUCACCACUAGGCCCAUCUCAGCAGUCCAGGUGGACAUCCCCUGGAGCCUCUGUCACUCCCCCUCCGGGCACGGUGGCUCACGCCUGUAAUCCC